RNAcentral lists this long non-coding RNA (956 nucleotides) under Volvox carteri. Its description in RNAcentral is "long non-coding RNA (VCAR_LNC000001)". Lineage: Eukaryota; Viridiplantae; Chlorophyta; Chlorophyceae; Chlamydomonadales; Volvocaceae. The record is from RNAcentral.
CGCCGCCGCCAUUUCCACCACCACCACCACCGCCUCCGCCGCCGCCACCGCCAUCACCAUCCCCAUCCCCUCCAUCCCAGCCACGUCAUCCCCCUCUACCGCCGCCUCCACCACCGCCACCUCCUCCACCACCACCGCCACCGCCGCCGCCAUUUCCACCACCACCACCACCGCCGCCGCCGCCGCCACCUGCCAUCACCAUCCCCACCCCCUCCAUCCCAGCCACGUCAUCCCCCUCUACCGCCGCCUCCACCACCGCCACCUCCUCCACCACCACCGCCACCGCCGCCGCCAUUUCCACCACCACCACCACCGCCUCCGCCGCCGCCACCUGCCAUCACCAUCCCCACCCCCUCCAUCCCAGCCACGUCAUCCUCCUCUCCGCCGCCUCCACCACCGCCACCUCCUCCACCACCACCGCCACCGCCGCCGCCAUUUCCACCACCACCACCACCGCCGCCGCCGCCGCCACCGCCAUCACCAUCCCCACCCCCUCCAUCCCAGCCACGUCAUCCCCCUCUACCGCCGCCUCCACCACCGCCACCUCCUCCACCACCACCGCCACCGCCGCCGCCAUUUCCACCACCACCACCACCGCCUCCUCCUCCGCCUACCUGCCAUCACCAUCCCCACCCCCUCCAUCCCAGCCACGUCAUCCCCCUCUACUCACCGCCUCCACAACCGCCACCUCCUCCACCACCACCGCCACCGCCGCCGCCAUUUCCACCACCACCACCACCGCCGCCGCCGCCGCCACCGCCACCACCAUCCCCAACCCCUACAUCCCAGCCACGUCAUCCCCCUCUACCGCCGCCUCCACCACCGCCACCUCCUCCACCACCACCGCCACCGCCGCCGCCAUUUCCACCACCACCACCACCGCCUCCUCCGCCGCCACCGCCAUCACCAUCCCCAUCCCCUCCAUCCCAGCCACGUCAUCCCCCUCUACCGCCGNN